AGCAGCCGCGGUAAUUCCAGCUCCAAUAGCGUAUAUUAAAGUUGUUGCAGUUAAAAAGCUCGUAGUUGAGUUUCGGGGUUCUACCGUUGGUCGGGCUUUGUCUGUACUGGCGUGUAGAAUUUCUACCUUCUGGGGAACCAUCAUGUUAUUAAUUUAACGUGGUGGGAAACCAGGACCUUUACCUUGAAAAAAUUAGAGUGUUCAAAGCAGGCUUACGUCUGAAUACAUUAGCAUGGAAUAAUAAAAUAGGACGGUGGUCCUGUUUUGUUGGUUUCUGAAUCACCGUAAUGAUUAAUAGGGAUAGUUGGGGGCAUUAGUAUUCAAUUGUCAGAGGUGAAAUUCUUGGAUUUAU
RNAcentral lists this ribosomal RNA (352 nucleotides) under uncultured Racocetra. RNAcentral describes it as "SSU rRNA". It matches the Rfam family "Eukaryotic small subunit ribosomal RNA", at positions 569 to 929 of the family's 1831-position model. The record is from RNAcentral. Lineage: Eukaryota; Fungi; Glomeromycota; Glomeromycetes; Diversisporales; Gigasporaceae.